This 478-nucleotide ribosomal RNA is filed under the name uncultured bacterium. RNAcentral's name for it is "partial 16S ribosomal RNA". It matches the Rfam family "Bacterial small subunit ribosomal RNA", at positions 28 to 523 of the family's 1533-position model. The record is from RNAcentral.
GAUGAACGCUGACAGAAUGCUUAACACAUGCAAGUCUACUUGAUUCUACUUCGGUAGUUGAUGGUGGCGGACGGGUGAGUAACGCGUAAAGAAUCUGCCCUUUAGUUUGGGAUAACCUUUGGAAACGAAGGCUAAUACCGGAUAUUAUGGAGACGUCGCAUGACGACUCCAUGAAAGCUAUAUGCGCUAGAGGAGGACUUUGCGUCCCAUUAGUUAGUUGGUGAGGUACUGGCUCACCAAGACCGCGAUGGGUAGCCGGCCUGAGAGGGUGAUCGGCCCAAAGGGAACUGUGACACGGUCCUUACUCCUACGGGAGGCAGCAGUGGGGAAUAUUGGACAAUGGGCCACAAGCCUGAUCCAGCAAUUCUGUGUGCACGAUGAAGGUCUUCGGAUUGUAAAGUGCUUUCAGUAGGGAAGAAAAAAAUGACGGUACCUACAGAAGAAGCGACGGCUAAAUAUGUGCCAGCCGCCGCGGUAA